This 253-nucleotide ribosomal RNA is filed under the name uncultured bacterium. Its description in RNAcentral is "partial 16S ribosomal RNA". It matches the Rfam family "Bacterial small subunit ribosomal RNA", at positions 524 to 776 of the family's 1533-position model. The record is from RNAcentral.
UACGUAGGUGGCAAGCGUUGUCCGGAUUUAUUGGGUUUAAAGGGUGCGUAGGCGGUAAUUUAAGUCAGUGGUGAAAUACGGCAGCUUAACUGUCGAGGUGCCAUUGAUACUGGGUUACUUGAGUACUGGUGAGGUAGGCGGAAUGGACGGUGUAGCGGUGAAAUGCUUAGAGAUCGUCCAGAACACCGAUAGCGAAGGCAGCUUACUAAGGAGUAACUGACGCUGAGGCACGAAAGUGUGGGGAUCAAACAGG